This 253-nucleotide ribosomal RNA is filed under the name uncultured prokaryote. RNAcentral's name for it is "partial 16S ribosomal RNA". It matches the Rfam family "Bacterial small subunit ribosomal RNA", at positions 524 to 776 of the family's 1533-position model. The record is from RNAcentral.
UACGUAGGCAGCAAGCGUUGUUCGGAGUUACUGGGCGUAAAGGGCCAGUAGGCGGCCAACUAAGUCACACGUGAAAUCCCCAGGCUUAACCUGGGAACUGCGUGUGAUACUGGAUGGCUUGAAUUCGGGAGAGGGAUGCAGAAUUCCAGGUGUAGCGGUGAAAUGCGUAGAUAUCUGGAGGAAUACCGGUGGCGAAGGCGGCAUCCUGGACCGACAUUGACGCUGAACGGCGAAAGCUAGGGGAGCAAACGGG